Macadamia integrifolia is the source of this 762-nucleotide long non-coding RNA. RefSeq lists it as uncharacterized. Lineage: Eukaryota; Viridiplantae; Streptophyta; Magnoliopsida; Proteales; Proteaceae. The transcript is spliced from 2 exons. The record is from RefSeq and is a predicted model, not a curated record.
UUGUCACAAGAGUAUUGAUGAGAAUUUACUCAUUUAACCUUGUUCAUAUAAUAAGGUUUAAGUUAAAGCAAAAGAGAAAAAGAUAGCAGCUAUUUGGCUAAGAUUCGGAGAGGAAGAAAGGGAGAAGAAGCAGAAACAUUCUGGGUUAGAGAACUGUCCACAAUCACCUUCAAGAGCUCAAUCGGAAAGUCAUCCGUGGUCUGAUUGAAUCGAUUUUUUGAAAGCAGCUUCACAACACACUGGUCUUCAUUCGAUGAGCAGCUUAUGAUGGAGGAUGAGGACUUUGAAGAUUUGGUUCCUGAGAUCACAGAGCCAGAUUAUAAUUAUUCAAAUAUAAGCUAGGAGUUUGUUCAAGUGUGGGAGAUCUUCUAACCCAAGCGGGUCGCCGAGUUGGUAAGGGACAUUCAGCCGCAACAUCUUCAAUUUGAUAGAUUUGAUUUCUUAUCAAAAUUAGCAGCUCGGUUUGAAGUCUCAACGCCGGUUCAAUUUGGUCAGCUUUGGUGAAGAUGGAUUUAGAUAUGGAUGCCUGCAGUCAUCCACGAUCUAGAUAUUGCUAGGGUGUUAUUCAGCUUGUUUUGGCUGGUUGAGUUUGCGAUUGUCUUGUUUGCUGAUGGCAAUGCCGAAGGUGGAACUCAUACAUUCCCUUCUCGUCCAGUUGAGAGGUUAGGGCUGUUUUGCUCUCCCUCUUUUUGAUGUACAAUUUGUUCCUUUUGUUUUUCUCUUUUAUAAUUAAUAUAUAUGAUGUUAAUUAUUGACAUCAAA